UACGGAAGGCAGCAGUGGGGAAUAUUGCACAAUGGGCGAAAGCCUGAUGCAGCUAUGCCGCGUGUAUGAAGAAGGCCUUAGGGUUGUAAAGUACUUUCAUCGGGGAGGAAAAACAAAACUAAUAAUUUUAUUUCUUGACGUUACCCGAAAAAGAAGCACCGGCUAACUCCGUGCCAGCAGCCGCGGUAAUACGGAGGGUGCUAGCGUUAAUCAGAAUUACUGGGCGUAAAGAGCACGUAGGUGGUUUUUUUAAGUCAGAUGUGAAAUCCCUGGGCUUAACCUAGGAACUGCAUUUUGAAACUGAAAUACUAGAGUAUCGUAGAGGGAGGUAGGAAUUCUAGGUGUAGCGGUGAAAUGCGUAGAUAUCUGGAGGAAUACCUGUGGCGAAAGCGGCCUCCUAAACGAAUACUGACACUGAGGUGCGAAAGCGUGGGGAGCGAAACAGGGAUUAGAUACC
RNAcentral lists this ribosomal RNA (457 nucleotides) under uncultured bacterium. Its description in RNAcentral is "bacterial SSU rRNA". It matches the Rfam family "Bacterial small subunit ribosomal RNA", at positions 340 to 786 of the family's 1533-position model. The record is from RNAcentral.